CAUUUUGGCCAUUCCGAGAGUGCCACGGCUGGAGUGUGGGCAGCGCGGAGGAUCGUCCUUUGGCUGCGGUGGACGCGUUCAGGGCGCUAACCGGGCUUCGCUUUAUUUACUCCUGUGGUUACGGCUCCCUGUAGCGUCAGCAGGGGGGCUGCGUGAGAGGCCCAUGAUUACACACUACGCUGCCACCUGGACAAGAAGCCCAGCCUCCCGCCCCUCAGUGAGUCUGGGCUGCAGCUGAAGGUGAAAGAUGGAAUUUAGGAGCCGGUGCACGGUUUCCUGGGCCUCUUUACUGCGUCUCAUCUCUAAAAGAUAUGCAAUUUGGGCAAGGCUCAGUGGAACAGCUCGUCUGCACCACGUGACAUCGGCUGGCGCAGCUCAAAAUCAAGGCCAGGGUCUGGAAUCUGAAGGCUUGAUCAUUCACGCAUCUGGCAGUUGAUGCUAGCUGUUGUUGGGACUUCAUCUAGAACUGUGAGCUGGAAUGCCUAUACGUGGCCCCUCCAUCUGGUUGCUUGACUUCCUCCCUGCCUGGCAACUAUGUUCCAAAAGUGAGCACUCCAAGAGAAAGUCCCAAGAGGACAAGAAGCUAUAUUACCUCUCCUGCUUCUGGCUGCCAGGCCACCAACCUUCAAGAACAAAUAAGAGCCUUUACCUCUGAGAUGGAGAGGAAAAAGAAGGCAGGACACAGGAAAAGUAUUCAAAGAAGUAAUGGUUGAAGAUUUUCCAUAUUUGGCAAAAAUCUAGAGAUUCGAGAAGCUUGGUGUGGCAAAAAUCCACAUCAAGACACAUCAUGGUCAAACUCUGGACCCUAAGACCAAAAGAAGAAGAAGAAGAAGAAGAAGAAGAAGAAGAAGAAGAAGAAGAAGAUGAUCUUGAAAGUAGCCAAAGAGAAAUACCAUGUUACCUGUAGGGUAAAAAGCAAUGUGAAUGACAGCAGAGUUUUCAUUGAACCCAUAUGGGUCAGAAGGAAGUUGCAAAACAGUUUUCAAGAGCUGAAAGGAAAAAAUGACCCAGAAUUCCCCAUCCAGUUAAACUAACCUUAAUAAAUGAAGGGAAAAGGGAUUGUGGUUUUUAAGAUUUGGGGUACAACAGCCAAUCUGGGAUCUUUUCCUUGGGAAGGUAAGGGGAAACGGUAAGAUCAGGAGAGGUACUUUGGGGAAGCAAGGAGUAAAUGGGAGAGUAGAGACUGUUCCUUGAGGAAUUGAUCUAAGGGUUUAGAGAAGGCCUGGCGAACAAGAAAAUCUUGGGGUAUUCUGAAAAGUUCUUUGUAAACCCUACUUAUGCAGUGAUACUCUUCUCAGGCUGGAUGCUCCAAGGACUCAGAAGUUAUCUCCAAGGAUCCACUUAAGGGCCAGUCUUUCCUUUGGAAGGUACAGAGUUUGUACAUCCCAAGCCUGCUGAGCUAACCAAAUGACAAAGAGCAACCAAAUGCAAUGUGUGGGCUUUAUCUGGAUCUUGAUUUGGGAAACAAAACAAAACACAACACUGUAAAACAAAGCAAAACAAUGACCUUUUUCUUUUAACAGUUUAUUAAAGUAUAACUGACAUACAAUAAAUUGCAUAUACUCAAAUGUACUGAUAGAUAGUGAUACAUGCAUACAUCUGUGAAAACAUCACCACCAUUCCAAUUUUAGUAUAUGUGCUGCUGAAGAGAGCAUAACCAUCGCCACGAUCAAAAUAAUGUCCAUAUUCUUGAGCCCCAAGAGUUUCUUCUUGUCCCUCUGGAAUCCCUCCCUCUGGCAUAUCCCUAUCCUCCCUAUCCCAGCCAGUCACUUAUCUUCUAUUACUAAGUUUGUAUUUAGAAUUUUAUAUAAAUGGAACAUAGUGUAUGUAUGUCUGGCAUUA
This is a long non-coding RNA of Prionailurus viverrinus (fishing cat), 1842 nucleotides long. RefSeq lists it as uncharacterized. NCBI's taxonomy places the organism in Eukaryota, Metazoa, Chordata, Mammalia, Carnivora, Felidae. The record is from RefSeq and is a predicted model, not a curated record. The transcript has 3 exons.